GGGGAAUAUUGCGCAAUGGGGGGAACCCUGACGCAGCAACGCCGCGUGAGUGAAGAAGGUCUUCGGAUCGUAAAACUCUGUCAUCGGGGACGAAGAAGUGACGGUACCCGAGGAGGAAGCCCCGGCUAACUACGUGCCAGCAGCCGCGGUAAUACGUAGGGGGCGAGCGUUGUCCGGAAUUACUGGGCGUAAAGGGUGCGUAGGCGGUCUGUUAAGUCAGAUGUGAAAUACCAUGGCUCAACUGUGGGGUUGCAUUUGAAACUGGCAGGCUAGAGUGCAGGAGAGGGAAGUGGAAUUCCUAGUGUAGCGGUGAAAUGCGUAGAGAUUAGGAGGAACACCAGUGGCGAAGGCGGCUUCCUGGACUGUAACUGACGCUGAGGCACGAAAGCGUGGGUAGCGAAC
This 402-nucleotide ribosomal RNA is filed under the name uncultured bacterium. RNAcentral describes it as "bacterial SSU rRNA". It matches the Rfam family "Bacterial small subunit ribosomal RNA", at positions 356 to 773 of the family's 1533-position model. The record is from RNAcentral.